UUUUUUUUUUGUAGGGCAAUGAGAAAUACUAAGUUGAUUGCAGAAAUCAUUGAUGCAAAGAGUUAUAUUAAAUACAAUCCUGUGCUUUGUUUAAAAAAGGAUAAAAAACUACUCUAAUUUGCAAUGUUAUCCCAUCACAGAAGGUGAUCAAAUAAUAUACUGUUAUGUAAUUUUAUAGUUUCAUAUCUAUUUAGCCUUUCGUCUGAUACUUGUCGAUCUUUUAGACUGCCUGGGUCAAGGCAAAGCUCUUUUUUGAACACAUCUUCCAGAAAUAUUGGUAUAUGAGCUGUGCGAAGUGAUACCGAGCUACUGCAGCGGACUAUGGAAUUGAGUUUACUUGUAAUUCAUGCAAAGAGAAGGGCCCUGCUAUGCCUAGGUCCUAUAUUACUAAAUCAUUAACUUUAAUUUAGCUGCUUACUUCCUCUUAAUGUUAAUGUUAUACAGUGUAUCGCCUAAGCAAUUGUAUACUUAUGUUUUAGGUGCCAUUUUGACGUUGAUUUGAGCAAUGACAGUGGAGUUAUACCUGCUUCUAUCUUUGGAGAUCUAGCAGAAAAUAUUCUCAACUUUACUGCGGUUGAAGCAAUGGAUCAUUUUAAUCAGGUUAUUUUAACUGCUCAAAUUUAAUAUUCAGUACGCUAUUUACUUGUCACCCUUAUAUCUUCUAUACUUCUUACAGAAUCUUGAACUGCCACUUGAGUUUGUUCAUGCUCAGCUUAAAACAAAGACAUUUCUGGUUCACAUUAAAUCAGUCCAAACACAGCUCGCUGAUGCUAGAUAGCAUUAUACGAUUUUAUAUUGCUCUGAACUUGAACUAGAAUUUGGUCGUGCUCAGUUGAUAGGUGAACCAGAAUCUGUCUUGCUUUCAACUGACCAGCAAACUGAAAAUGAGCAAUUGAUGAUGACAGGUUGAUAGAUAUACCCGGAGUUGUAAUACAUAACCUAUUUUCUUUGAAUGAACUGUUAACUUAACUACUCCUUGUGCUUACAGGAAAUGGUGGUUCUGGCCCAAAAAUGCAUCUUCGACUCAGUCAAAAGUUUGAUGAAGCAGAAACUGUCGACAGCAAUGACUUUGAAAGUUCAGAUGCCAACUCCAAAAAUAAAGCAAAAUUAGGCUGAAUUGCCCUCAUUUCCUUUUGGAUUGCUCAAACAUUAAUAUUUUUUGGGUUCCGUUAUCUGCACUUCUAUACUUAGGCAAAUUGUUUAUGGCUUUUGGAAAUACUACUCAUCUAUUCACAAUUUCCUCACUUUUGUAUGUGGUUAUCCGCUAAAUAGCUUUUGUCAUGAUCAUUGAACUUUGAUAAUAGCACCUGUAUCAAAGUUCUUGCCAGGCUUUCAAAGAUUAACCGAAUCCUCCAUCUUGGGUAGCAUGAGGAUUUUCACAGAUAUCUUUGAACCCCUGGCGAUGAACUCCUUUUUUACAGAACUAGCAACUUUAUAAUCUAUAUAACUUGGGAUUCAUUUCUGUUUCUUUAUAUUUUCUGCAAUACAAUUAUUAUUAUCACUUUCAAACCUCCAACUUUGUAUACACACUUAUUCAUUUAUUACAAAAGGCAGCAUUUUUUACAAAUAAAACUUAUAUAUUCAGGUCCUGCUUCUUAUAUGUCAGGCUACCUGCUACACUAAACAUGGCAAGUACAGGGUGAAUUAUGAUCUUGCCUUCAAGCCAUUAAAGCAUUACAAAUGCAUUACUUUACAUGCAGUUGGUUGGCAACUCGCAUUUAAUGUUUGACAUUGAAUUGUCUUCUAUUCAUUGUUCCUUACCUUCCUCUACUGCAACUAAUAAAUCUUUUCAAUUGUGGUAGGAAAAAGCUUGCACUUAGUAUUAAAAGCAAUGAAAAAUAUACUCUUUUUACAUUGAUCUUUUCUUUAUAUAUAUGCUCUUUACAGUUUAUAAAAUCAUCCAUAACAACUGCUAACCAUACAUUUGCACUAGCGCUUUUUCUGCAUAAGAACUUGUCAACAGGUGAGUUGCUCUAUAAUGUAUUUCUAAUCCUUAUCACAUGAUGUAACCUUGUACUCGCAUUUUCUAUUAAUAGACCACUUUUCUGAUUUUCCAAUUUUUCAACUUUCCUCCUGAUAGUUCAAUAGCAGAAACAAUCUUAACAUCUUUAACAAAUUUUCAACCGACAAAUAGCUGCUUAUCAGCUUGCUGUUUUCUACUCAAAUGCAUCCACAGAGGACAGGUUAACUUUUAGCUUGUUCACCCACAUUGCAGCAUUUAGAGUUGAAUACCAUGGUAUUCUUUGACGUUAUUUUCCUACUUCAUUUUUUCAAGGUAUUACCUGCUCAGUUUGAAUCGUUACUUCAUCAGCACCAUUGCAAUAGAAUUAUUCUGAGGUUUGGACUGCGGCAAUGGCCUAUCACAGUCACUAAUCAUACAUUUGGACAAGGAUGGGAUGCUUUUUGUAAACACAACAUUGUUAAAAGGCAUGACACGCUAUUACUUCAACAUAGCGGGUAUUUGAUAUUUGAUGUCAUUCACUUUUGUGAACAACAAAAACAAGUUUUUUUGCCUUGGACCAUUCCCCUACUAGACCUGUUGCACAUGAAUGUCAUUGCAUCAAAAGGUCAAAAUACCACUGUAUCUAUCUCAUAUCCUCAUCUAUAUCAUAUAUUAUUUUUAAUGUAACACAUAGUCACUAAUUACAGAUGAUAUCCAUAUGGCCACUGGACAACAGCAAGUUGCUUCCUCGCUGAGACCAAAUUUUUGUCAAGAUCUAUUUGAUUCGGUUUGCUUUUAUCAAAUCUUUAACUCGACAACUCCAAACAGUUUGGUAAGCUAUUCCAUGUUUACCUGCAUUCUCUUUGUCAUCUCAACUUUCUCGCAAGCAAUUUCCAUUUGUUUAUGCAUAUCUUCUAAUCUGCACCUCUUGAUGAUAGAAAAUUCCGCGCUUUAUUGAUCACUUCAUCAAUGGUAUCAAGACUCCCAUGUUACUUGUCAACACUGGACACAGAAGUACUCAAAUUGGUGUAAAGCAUAAAUGCCUUCACCAAAACUGGAGAGAUUUCGUUCUUCAACAUCAAUUGCAACACAACAAAACUCUUGUCUUUGUUCCGAAAUCUGAAAAUAUAUUUACAGUUUUGAUCUUCGAUGAUGCCGGAGUUGAAAAGAUUUUUCCUUGGUAUCACACAUUCAAUAUUUAUUUGGAUGCUUAAUGAAUUUAGUUGAACCAUGCAGUGUAAUUUACCUAUCGAUUGAAUACAUUAUUGGUAGUUUUCACUUCUUCUUAGCUAAACUAAGCAACCACUGGCCCACAAUCCUUAAUACAUUACUUCUUCUUUGAAUUAACUAAUUUUACAAAAUUAAUUAUUCAACUGGGUAUUACUGGGCAUCAUUACAUUCACCCACUGCGCAUCGCGCGGUGAUCCCCCCCUAGUAUGGUAGUAGCUUACUGUACAAUUCGUUUGUCGUUUGUUGUGUGUUACUGCCUCUGGAUCAUUGCACAACGAUUAAUUAAUUGCAACAUGCACCCCUAUUAGGCCCACCGUGUUUGUUUAAACCUAAAAAAUAACAGGUAAGCCCUGUAAAAUAAAAGAACUAUUUUAUUUCCUAAACAAAGAAAGAAAAAAAAGGAGGUCACACAUAAAUAAACACAUAAACAUAAACAAAUAUCUUUUGGUGUAAUCUCCCUACCUGGUAAUCCCACUAAUCUACAGCCAAGCAUUUUGGGUGACUCUCUUAACUUUUAUUUUCUCGAUUUCGUAGUUUCGAAUUGAAAUCAAAAUUCGUUAGUAAAUUUAUUUUUUUCGAAAUUGCACAUUCCUAGAUGAUAUGAUCCAUGUAUUUUCUUUUUUUUUUUAACAUAUUUUCCAAAAAAAUGAAUUACCGCUAACAUUUAUUUUUUCUCUAUUUUGGAAUGAGCUUUCACUUUAGAGAAAAAAGAAAAAGGAAAUUACAUUGAAAUCUAAGCCGAGUAGUGUCGAGUUUUUGGAUUGUUGGCAAAAAAAAUCUAAAAACAAGAUUGAAUUAAGUUAUAUUAGCAAUUUAAUUCAGAUUGAGAUGGUUUAAUUCACUCUCAUUUGUUUUCUCUGUCUGUUUUUCUAGGUUACUUUUUUCCCCUUCAAUUUUGUUUACAUGUUUCUUUCUCGUGCUUCUUGUUUAAACUUGUUUUUAGGAUUAUAUCUUUCAUAAGGUGACAAAUUUGAUUUCCAAAUGCAAAGCUCCUAGCAAGUUUAGACUUCGGGACACAAGUGACAUGCAUGUAAGCAAAGCUUCAAUUCUAAGGGAAAUUUUAGAUUAUAAGUUGUAUUCUCAACUCAAGUCCCUAAUAUUUUUUAAGAUUAAGGUCCUCUCUAGGAAAUUUUAGAUUAUGAGUUUGUAUCCUCAGGUCCCUAAUGUUUUUUAGACUUCGGGACACUAGCAAAAUUAUUUUCACUUUCCAUGAAUAAUUUUUUAACAUAUUUUUCAAUUAUUUUUUAUUUCACAUACAUCAAAAUCUAAAAAAUUAUUAUAGCAAUUUCUCAUGAAAAACUCUUCAAGCAGUGCUCUAAACAACCUCUACUUUUAAGAAAUAACUUACCCAGUGAAGAAAUGUUCGUGCGUAACUUUUCAAGAAUGACAUACUAAAAGAAAUACUGAGUGAAUCUAGACAUAUAGUUAUUUGAAACUCAAUUUUCUUGUAUCAUAAAUUUUUUUCAAUCCUUUUCUAUUCCUUUAAUCAACAUUUUUUUUGAAAAAAAAAUCUUUUGAUCAACAUUUGUUUUCACAUACAUCACAUCUGAUGAAAAUUCCCAAUUUGCCACAAUUUCAUUACCAUAAAUAUCAAAACUGAAGUUGUAAGCAAACAAUAAAUUAUGAAAAAUAAUUGUACAUUACUCUACAUUAAUAAUAAAAAAGAAAAUGAUACAUUUUUCUUUUAGGUGAAUAAAAAAUUUAGCAUCUGGAAAAUAAGAAUCUCCUUACAAAUCCCCAUUAAAAGUUGUUCCUUUUGACAAACAAUGCAUGCACCCCUUAGGACAGCCCAAAAUCAUUGUUUUGAAAACCGAACCGGACUGCAAACCGAUCAUAGGUCCGAUCCGAUUCAUAUCUCGAGUUGACUGGAUUUAAAAACCUAUAAGAACCAUUUGAACCAUAAAAUUUGUGCGAAUCAGAUUGAAUCAUUGAACCGGUGAUUUUUUUGCUUUUGUCUUUUAAAUUGAAAAAAUUAUAUGAAAAAAGAAUAGGUUUUCCUUAAACCUAAAGAUUAAUUAAAUGCCACGUUCAUUCACUUUCUUCUCAUUUUUUUUUUAUCUAUUAUCAAGUUUACAUAUCUAUUUUCUAUUUUUUGACUUCCUCUAAAUUCCAAACUUCAUUUUUAAAGUUGCAAUUUCUAAAUCCCAAAAACGUGAAUUAAAAAUUUAAACUUACAGUGUCUAAUUCCCAUGGACGUGAAUUUGGUAUAAUUUUAGAAUAUUUUGGUAUCUUUGGGUUGAAUUUAAGAUUAUUUUUUGAUAGAUACAAUUGAAACUGAGAUAAAAUUUAUUUGUUGCAACUUAUAAUUUAAAAUUUUUAUUUGUGAAAAUCCAAAUUCUUUGAAAAUAUUAAACUUUUCAUCAUAUAAAGUUUUAAAUUAGUUCAUUGCAUGUCUUAUUUUGAACAUAUAUAUUUAUAUAAAUUAUUUAAAAAAAAUAUUGAAUCAGUGUUAAAUCGGUCCGAUCGAUUGAAUCUCGAUCCGAGCACCACGCCGGUUUAAUUAACGGUUUGAGUUUCAAAACAUUGCCCAAAAUAAGUAGUGGCAAAGAAGGAUCAAAAUCCUCAGGCCUUUUUUUAUUUUAAAUGGACCCAUGAAAUGUAACCAAAUAUUUUGCAAAUUUCUUCAGGCUGACAAACUCUGGCCUGCAUGCUUAUUAUGCUCUUUCAUUUAAGAAUUCCCACAGGGAAACUACCGCCAGAGCUAAGCCGAAUGCGAAGUUUCAUUUUGGGUAACUCAUUUCUGCCCGCCUUUUUUUCUUUCGGAAUUCUGCUUCUUUACCAUUUCAUUCUAGUGGAAGCCAAGAAGGAAAGGUCUGAUCUUUGGUUAGUAUGGUCAUUAAAUAGGCCCCUCUCUCUCUCUCUCUCUCUCUCUCUCGGGUUUCUCUAUUUCUGCUCAUUUUUAAAAAAUUCUGCUUCUUCUACAUUUUUUUUGUAAAUGGAAUGUACCCGAUCCGAACCCUUUGAACUAAAGUCGACACACCGCACAACCUUUUUUCUGUGCGAGUCAAAGAAUGCUUCAGGGAAUAAUUUCGAUCCUAGGACCUUUUGUGUUCUAAAGAACCGUUACUAGGGGUGCAAUCGAAUUGAGUCGAGCUCGAAGGAUGCUCGAACUUGAGCGAGUAGUAUUAUUGGAGCUCGAUUCUUGCUCACAAAACUCUAGCUCGACUCGUAUGGAUUCGAGUCAAUGCGAACCUUAUCAAGAUCGAGUUAGAAAUUUUCAUUUUCUUGAUAAUUUUUGAGUGAAAAAACAUUGUUACCGUUUAAAAUUUUUUUAUAUGACUUAAAACAUUUCGUAAAUUCAACAACUCUUUUAAGCGUAAGGGUAAUUUUAUAAUAAUAAUAUAUUAAAGAAUUAAAAUUAAAAAGCUCGAUAAGACUCGACGAACUUUCGAACAUUGCUUUUGGAUACUCGAACUCGACUUGUUUAACUUAUCGAGGUGCUCGAACUGGACUCGAAUUCGAUUAACUCGAGUUUAAGUCAAAAUUUUGAUCAAGCUGCUCACGAGUGUACGUUCAAUUACAACUCGCGAGCAGCUCGAUUUGAUUACAGCCCUAAUCGCUGCUACCACUGGACCAACACUGUGAGGGUAAGGGAUGACAUACAAGGACUUCUCAGGGGUCACCCAUCCUAGAAUGAAAGGUCUAGGAAACAAAAAUGAAAGGUCUGAUCUUCAUUCGGUGGAAGCAAAAAUGAAAGGUCUGAUCUUUGGUCCCGAUGGCAAUACACAAAAGUUCUAAUCUUUGGCCCAAUUUUAUACAGAAAUUCUAAUCUCCGGUUCGGAUGGACAUUGAAUAGCCAGAAGGUCUUCUAAUCUUUGGCCCAACAUCAAAGAGUUGAGUCGGUGAACUUUUCAAUUUGGCAUGGCUCUACACAUUUGGGCCAACUGAACAAGUAACACCGGAGGCCAAAGAGUCCUUAAAAAAAAAAAAGAAGGAACAACUAGUGCAGACCGAAUUCGGUCCAGCAAUGACGAAGGAGUUCAAAUUACAAAGGGCCGUGGGCAAUGAUCAAAGGGAUCUUGUCAUUGUUCUACCUCACGCUUUUGAAGACCUUUCAUUCGCGGAAAUGAGGUUUUUAACCUGCCUGUGGGAUGCGAUUGAAAAUGGGUCCAACUUGUGUGUCCAGUUGCCGAACAACAGGCGCGUAUUUGAGUUGGCUGCAUGUUUUAGCUUGAGCUAUCAUGCAUUGUCCAGGCUCCAUGAGGUUGCCGACUGUAGAAUUAUAUUAGCUUUGUCUGACAAAGUUAAAGUUGGAGAUGUAGAGGAAAUCUGCGUUGAUGUUAAGAAGAGUAUCUGCUUGCAAUGCCCGAUUGGUAGGUUGGGUAGGAUGAAAAGAUUUUCCAUUCUUGCCUUAACAGAUGAUAUAAAGGGUUUUGUUAGGUUGAGACAGGGCUUCACCCCGAACAUGAUCCUGUGCCGAAGAGAUGAUAUGUUUCAGCAUAGGGUUUUUAACCUCUUAGGUGACCAGAGACUGGGAGAGUUCACUGUAUUUUUUGAGGAGGGCCAUGAUUUACAUGCACAGAUGAAUAGUUGGUCGGGCCUUCAUAUGGUUGAUACCGAUAUAGAGGAUAUCCGGGAAGCUUUGCCUGAAAUGCAGGAAGAGGGGUAAGAUAAAUCACUAUCUUAUUGGUAGUGUUAUUAUUUAGUUCUAAUUAGCGUUAUGUUCUGAUAAUUAGUCUGUUCAUGUUGUGAAGUUCGAGUUUUGAUAUGUACAAAUAAAGCCCAUCAUUUCUCAUCUGUAGGUUGCCUGGAGAAUGGGAGACUUUUAUCCCCCAUUUUUUGCCUUGGCGAGUGGACAAUGAGGUGGCAGGGAAAGAAAUUUUUAUAGCUUUCCUAGAUUUUCUUCUUAGCUUGUCGGAUAGGUAUAGUGGGGAACUGAAAUUGUUUCAUCAGUCUCGUUGCUCCAUGGAUAGGUUCGUAGAGCUUUACAAUGCUAGGUUGGCUACUAAUGGGCUGAUUCAGCCCGAUAAUCUCAAAUUGCUGUUAGGAUGGGUUGUGAAGUCAUGGAAGCAUCCGGAUAUUGAUUUUACAGUCUCACGUAGAGAUUUGUUUCAGUUGGCUAGAUUUAUCGGCACUGCAGCUUGUAACAUGAACAGUUUCUUAUUAUUUUUUGAUAAUUCUUGCGAUGAAUUUCAUUUUGAUCUAGUUGAGCCGGAUAUAUAUAUGGAUCGUAUCCGUGCUAGGAGUAGAUCCAUUGUUAUAGCUAGUGCCUCAGAAGAACUCGAAGUAUGCAGCCAUAUCUUGCUGGGAGGAAAUGCACGAAUUGAGUAUCUUUUGGACCAUUGGCAUUAUUCAGAUGAGGUGCCGUUUACUCCCAUGGUGCUCACGUGUUACCGGUAACACGAUCCCUCUGAAUUUACAACUUAAUAAAGCAUCUGUAUGCCUUGGCCCUAAUCUGAUUUUUUUGUAGGGGGCAAGCCUUGGAUGGUAGGAGGAUUAGAGAGGAGUUGUAUCAUCCCUUGGGCUAUCAAGGAUGCGAUCUUACAAUGGCUUACUAUGGAAAUUUGUUAAUAGAUAUGUCUGCAAUCAGCAUUUCGCAAGGGAUGCUAUGCCUGUUUCCUAGUCGUGAUGCCGUGAAGAGAUGCGUGGAUGUAUGGACUAAAAGUGGGGUACUUCAGGUUGUUCUAAGUUUCCUUUCUGUUUGUGCUUUUUCCUUCUUUUUUUUUUUCAUUUUCCUUACCUUCCUAAAAAUUCAGAAAGAAAGCCUCCAAAAUAUAAAAUGAGGGAACAAUGACUUAGGACACGAUGAGUUACAAAAAAGAUGAGCAUCACAAUGUGUUUUCUGCUGUGAUCUGCCUAGCCACUAAUUCAAGAGGCUAAUGAAAAAAAUUACCAGCAUAUCUGCUUGCUCAAAUUCCACUUAGUCAUGUCUUUAAGUCUAGACAAUGUCACCAAUUUAUGUACAGGCACGAUAACCCAUCUACAGGCAAGAGUUUAAGCUGUCAAGGUUAAUGAAACAAGAAUAAAAGAUCAAAGAAGGGGAUUGUGGUAGGUAGAACAGGACAGGGGAAAAGUUCAUUAAAUUUUAGCAAGGAGCAAUUUUGCAUGUUUGUGUAGUACAUUUAAUUGUGAGAGUGGAUACUGGUUGUGGUUAACACUGGCUAUUUCUGAGCAGAGAUGCUCAGGCCUUUAUACUUUCUGCUGUGGAUGGUUGAAAUAAAGUUUCUGUCUAUUUCUUUGUUGAUCUUCAGAUGCCUAAUAUAUCUGUACUUAAAGACUCUUCACACAAAUCACAGUUUGGGAUUUUUGAGUUGAGAUAUGGAAGAGUUGGGAGAAGAGUGUUCUCAUGCUUAUUUUCAAAUUUGGGGUGUGAAAGCCAAGAUAUUAUUUGGUGGUCUUUUAUAUGUCUGAAGUGAUUGGUACUCUUUCCUUUUUAAUAAAUCUAUGAUAUUGGCUGGUAACAGUACUUUAACUUGUCAGCAGGUUAGUCAAGUAUCUUGUAUGGCUAUCUUUAUGGCAGCAAACUACUGUCUACAUGGAACCACUAAUUUAUACUUUCUGGGAUGGAUUAGCAUUUCUGCUUAAGCACUAUCUGUUUAUACAUAGUCGUAGCCAUCCCACAGGUAUUUAUAUCAAAUAGUCAAGUUUCUUGUAGUGAUGAUGUUGCCAUUAACAUGCAGCACCAAGGUUUUUUAAGUAUUUCAGAUGCAAUAUAAAAUCCAUGUGGAAUGAAGAGGAGUAAGUUGUGAAGGCUUUUGUGUUAGGUCUUCAUGCUUACCUGUCCUUCUCCUCCAACCCUGCCUCCCCACACACCCCCACCCUCUCCCCACCAAAAAAAAAAAAAGAAAAAGAAAGAAGUGAGUUUCAUAUAAGCCAUAAUUAUGUCCCUUGUCCUCUUCAGUGUACAUCUGUAUUGUGAUCUGUAUUGUGGUGGCUGCAAAGCUGUCUAAUUCAUGCUUCCUCUCCAUCUAUUAAAUUUUCUUAAGUCUUAUGUACAUUUAGUGCUUGGGUUGUAUUUGACAUUUUAUUAACUUCUAAUUUGAACCUAGAAAAUCAUGUGCAAGAAGAAAGUGUACAUGCAAGAAACUAAAGCUAGACUCACUGAGAUUGACACAAAAGCAUAUCAACUGAAAUGCAAACAAGGUGAUGGAGGGCUAUUUUUGGCUGUUGUCAGGUAUUUUCCUAAUUAUUUUUGUUUACAAAUUUCUGCCACUCAUGAAUACUUGUAUACUUCUUUCCUGUGGAUCAACUAAUUAUAUGGUACAAAGGGACUGUUACGCCAGAUUGUGUCAUAGAACUUUGAAUGACCAAUUUUGUCUCCUAAUCAAUCUCGUUAAAUACUAGGAUUAGGUUGUCUGUUCAUGGAUGUGAAAUCUGCUUUCCUUUAACAACUUAAGUAAUAAAACAAGGAUUUUAAAAUUAUAUUGUUAUCCUCAAGGGUAUAUAAAUCUAAGGGAUAAUGGAGUUACUGAACUAUUUGAAAUAAAUUUCCUUGAGCAGUUAGUGAAGUGUAGUAGAUUCCUUAUGCUUUAUGUUCCAUUAUAAUUUUGUGUUCUAGGGCAUAUGUGAGUAAUAACUGCUUUAGGUUUGACAAUGGCGAUUUUAUGUUUGAGUUGACAACCGCAGUAUAGUUUUAUAAAUGACCAUGAAUGGGCAAUGAUGUGAGCUUUUUGUUGACAAAUUGACUGUAUUUAGGAUAUAUAUAACGUUUCUUUUCUGAUGUUUGUUAGAUCUUGUCACUGAAUGUGUGUAGUUAUGUUUACGAGUUUCCUUUAUUUUUUUCCUACAGAAGAAGGUUUUUUGAUGUUCAUGUGCUGUAUUUGACAGGGAAUAUGAUGCCUAUAAUUUUCAUGGGCUUUACGGUUCCAUAGUCAUGUAUAUUGGCUUCCCAUUUUGGAAGGAAGCUUCAAGGUACAAUUAUGUUUUCUUAUAUUCCUGCUUUCAAGUUUAACUAAUUGAACUUAUAGCCAGGUGCUCUAGGAGGGGGAUUACAAUUAGCUCUACUCAAGUUUUGUAUUCCCAUGUUUCUUCUUUAUUUGCUGUUAUGGUAUUCAUUGCCGUUUCACAUGCUGUUUAUAGUUGACUGCCUAACGAUGUCUUAUUAGAAAUCCAUUCUUCAUGUUGGUUCUAUAAGAUUAUCAAUGGCCCAAGGUUUGCAUUGGCGAGCACGAUAUGGGGUUGAACUUGACUCUGCUCUAAGAUUUGAAGUGACGGUAAGUUCUUUGUGCUUCUUUAAAUUGAGAAGUGUUUUUGUGUAGUCAUCCUUUUAGUUUCAAUUGAGUCUUGAUUUAUUUUUGUCCCUUUUGAUUUCAGAAGAUGAUUAGUUAUUUCUUCUUAUCUUGAACUCUCAUUUCUUAGCUUAGUCUCAAGUUUUGCUUUACUCUCAUCUAUGUCUUGACGUUGGAACAUUCAACUUGAUUAGUCCAUUCCAUUCCUGAAAUGCGCUAGGCGACUGUUUUUUCUUCUUUUGACUUUGACUUUGUGAGGUGCAACCUCAAUGACUUAUCUGAGAUUCGUGGCAUUAUAUGCCUAUCGUCGUAGAAGCUGUUGCUAGGAAAGAUUAUGCUUCUUGACACCAAAGUAAGAGUUUGACCCAAUGCUUUAUUCAUUUUUAUUUACCCCAACCCCGGCACCCCCUCCCACCAUGGCUUUUGCGGUUCUUUCAUCAACUGAAUUUUGUUUGAUUAGGGAGAAGUUCCUUAGAAACCCAUGCCUUUUUAAAAAUAUCCUGAACAGCACCUAUAGGUUGAGCACCCCUUUCAAGGAAAUAUAGAAUAGCAGCAGUGCUUAGUUGAGUUCGAUUCUUUGUCAGAUUGUAAAAAUACACUUUCUGCAAAUCUUUCUUUGAAAUAUUAUCUUCAAAUCACCGAGAGUUAAAUGAGACUAACUAUUCCAUUUUAUCUAAUAUUUGAGAGGAUCAUGCUGGUGAACUUAGUAACUUGUUUUUAGAUGGUUUUACUGCACUGCUAAAUCUUUGUUUUUACAUGCACUUAGAAUAAAAUUUGACAUAGGGAGUGGUUAGCAAUUGUAAAGUCUACUAGCCUUCUUUUCCAGUGUUUCUGUUCUGUCCUUCAUUCAUUUUUUGGAGUAAGAUGCAUGUUGUUCUCUAAAAGUUUAUUUUCUUUACUGAAUACCUUCUUUUUUAAAUAUUUGAACAGAGAUGUGCUACAGAUUCCCUUGGGACACACCUCAUGGGAAGCUUCCCCAACAACACAUUUGUGCUAUUCGCGGAUUUUUGGUUUGUCAUAAAUCCUCUCUUGCAUUUGUUUUCUUCAUGGUUUUUAUUGUUCUUAUGUUAUUUUGUCAAAUACUAUGUUAUUGUGAAGAACUUAAGCCGUUGUUCACAUAUGAUGUGCCAAUUACUCUUUCUGUCUGAAAUCUUGGUAGCAAGUUCACUUUGUUAGUGUUGGUGCAUUUUAAUUGAGGUUAUAGUUUUAUUGGUCCCUUCUCCUCUCUGUAUGAAACCGGAUGUUUUUAUUGGUCCCUACAUUGCGUAUGUAGGGUUUGGAUAGAAUUUCCAUGCAAACACUUGUAUUCUGCAUCUAACGGAACGAGCCAAUACAACCAUCUGGUUGCAGAAACAGUACAUGUGGUGAUUCUAUCCUAUUUCCUCGUUUCCAGCACACUAUAGACAUGAAAAUACAAUUACUUACUUGGCUACCGCAUGCGCUUUUGUCCUGCAUAGUAUGAGUUGUCUGCCCAAUGCUAGAAUUGAUACACUCAGAAGACUAAGUACAAGGACAACUCUGCCCAUAUGUAACAUAUUAGUGGCCAGAUCACAAAUAUAUAUAGAAGAAUGGGAAGUAGUGGCAAACUAACUUCGGAGGUUUUGAUCUGAAUCCCAUUUUUUUUGGGGGAGGGGGGGGGGAGGGGUUUGGGGGUGGGUGGAUUACUGUUAUACUAAAUAGAAGCCUUAGUUAGAUAUAUUUCCAGUUUCAACUUUGAUGAAAAAGAAACUAUUGCUCAGACGUGGUUUGAAUUCAAGUUUAACUAGUAUUUUGUCGUUAGAGGUGGGAUUUGCCUUUCCUCAGGACUCUCUUGGAGGGAAGCAGGGAAGCACAUUGAGUGGAAAAGAUGCGGCUAAAUGGUCUUGAUUGAUUCUUAGAAGAAUCUGGUGAAGGAUAGAAGGGUUCGAGUAGGAAGUAGUGGUUAAAGGACAGCAAAUCAUAAUUCAGCACUAAUUUUCAUAUUUAUUGAGGUAGAAGAUGUUUAGUCGUGCAGUGCAAUAGAGUCUUGUUAAUGAAGAUAGUGAAGUAAAAGGGCUGAAGAAGCAUGGCUUCAGCCCGUCUACAUUGCACACCACAGCAGAAUCUGCAGCUGGGAUUACAUGAAUUAAAAACUGAAUUAGCAUUAAAAUGCUUACUGACCCCGCACAUUAAAAUGCUUGCAGGCCCCACAUCAGGAAAUCUAGUGUGCAGAUUUUGUAGUGAUGAUCAAACUACGCAAGUUCUAGAAUUUAUACCAGCCACCUGAAGUAGUAAUGAUCCUCUCUUAGGACAGCAGUUUUGGGCUAUUCCUUUUUCCAACCUUAUCAGGGUGUUGCUUGGUCUUAAUUAUUACUUUUGCCUGUGAAGAUUCUGCAUUAUCACAUGCCAAGCAGUUUUUACAACAUUAACAAACAUUAAAUAAAAAUGUUAUAGUGAAUUCUGUUGCUGCUUAGUUUGAAGGAUGUCGCUUCUUUUAUAAAGCAUUACUGAUUGGUGAUAACAACUGACAACUUGCAGCUAUGGAAAGCAAGUAAAUCGACACUGUUUGCCCCGGUGGCUUUUGCGAUUCAUGGACAAUGAUUCAAUUUUGAAUGACAGUUAUCAUUUCCUUGAACUUCUGAACACUUGGGUGAUGGUACGUAAAAGUCUCAUGAUGUAUACUAUGUUUAAUCUUGUUUUUUGCAUCAAUCCUGUCCUACUUCGAUUUGCAAAAGUUGCUUAAUGACUAAGUGGUCUCUCGAAUUAAAAAGUUUUGAACAACUGAACUUCAAAUUAGUUAAUUUUUAUUAAUUCUUAUUCUUCCUUAAAGCAGUCAAAUGUGCUCAUGGGUCAUGCCGACCAUUCGCAUACAAUCAUUAUCAUUUAUAUUACCUUAUUGGUGGUCGGAAUUUAGCUAUUACUUGUGUCUUUGAUUACUUAUCCUGCCUUCAAUUUUGCGCACAUUUAUUUGCAGUUCUUUGACUCGUCGUUGGCUAUCGAUCGAGUACAUAACCAUUUAAGAGUAACUAAUGUGAUCUUAUUGUGGAUGCAAGAGAAAAUUAGUUUAAAAUGUUCGCUCAAUUUCAGUUCUGCUUAUUCCCUUUAAGCCCUACAUUCUUGAGUUCAUUUUGAUUAGCACAAUUAAGUGACAACAGAACUUUGAUAAAAAGUUCGGCGUGCAUGAUUAGCUUUCAGUUCGUGGUGGUUAAAUGUAUUGUUGGUUCUGUUUCGUAGACCACUCAUUCGAAUUGUAGACCACUCUUCUUCUAGUGAAAACCUUUAUGCGUUUUGUCCUUUUUCCACCCUAUCCCCGCACCAACCACAAACAAAAGGCCGGUGCCUACGCUAAGGGCUUCAGAUGGAUCUGUUCUCAGAUGAAAUUUUUCUUGGCCAUUUCUAGGACAGUAUGGUGUAGGAUGGAUGAAUAUUGCAUUGGUGCUUCAUCAUGGAAUGUACUUUUAUUAUACAGUUAUUUGAGAGGUUUUAGAAGCCCUCUUUUUCCUUUUAAGUUCAUGUUAUGGUUGGGAUAUGAGGUUUAAAGAGAGUGCUGACGGAUUCAAUUCAAUAUAGUUUUGCCAAAAUCUUCAGUAGGGCAGAUUGCAUGACUCCAGUGUAUGUGAGAAUUACCAAUGGAUGUUCAGUCAUGCUUACUUCCAUACUCACAUUUCCAUGAACUUGUUCUUCGUUUGUAGAGUUUGCAUAAUAUUUAGAAAUCUUUAUUUAUUCAUUGUCAUUGGUUUGUUUACAGCGUUAUUCUUCUCCUAUCCUGACAUUGCUUCAAUUUUGUAGAACAAUGAGCACAGACGGUUGCAGGAUAGUAUUAAUUUGCAAAUUGCUUCUCAUCCAAGACUCCGAUAUGUCAAAUUCUGGGUAGAGGAGGAGGAGGAUUGAUGUGCAAAUACCUUUGUGUUGUGGUAAAUACAGACUUCUGAAACAUGAACUUAGCUCUGCAGUUGAUGUUGGCAAAAGAAAUCGGGGGAUUGAUGUGCAAGUAUCUUUACUGUAUAGCAAAUAUGGACUUCUGAAACAUGAACUUAACUUUGCCGUUAAUGCUGGCAAAAGGUUGAGAAAUGAAUAUGAGAAAAUUUCAUUACAGUACACAUUGGAAGUACCGUUAAUUGUCAAAGUUGCGAUAGUCUCUGCUUAAUCCUGUUUUGCUUCUCUAUUAAAGAAGGGGUAUUAUUUAAUCUUUUCAUCACUUUCAUUCAUUAAGAACAAAAACACCCAUGCCAAUGCUUGAGGCGCUAAUGAAUGAUGAGCCAGUUCAUGAACUUCGCAGAAACAGAACAUUCCCAUGUCGUUUUUCUCUGAUCUAAGUGGUAUACAUUUUCUAAUGAAAGCAAAAGGGACUAACACAGUUACACCACAUGUCAUUCAAGGGGAGUAAGAAAGAUUUCCAAAACCUCAAAUAUGCUAAUGCUAUUAGGGCAAACCACAGGUGAGGUUUGUGAAAUCCUUAAUUAAUACCAUUUGGAUUUUUUAUUUUAAAAAAAAAAUUCAAAUACAAUAUAAUAAUACACAAAUAAAAACAACUCCAAAAAAACUCCAUCCACACAAUAUAUCAAAAACAACUUACAAAUAUAUCAAAAAAAUUAAAUUCUACAACAUCUUCUUCUUCCACCUAUCAUCACCACCCUCUUCCUUUUCCUACCACCCCCACCCUUCCCUUCCCCCUCCCAGAUAUGGCCUCGAUUUGAAAGGGAGGGGAGGGGUGGGGGUGGUUGGGAAAGAGAGGGGACGAGGAAUGAAGGAAGAAGGAAGAUGGGAGGAGGAGGAAGGAGAGGAAGAGGAAAGAGAAGGGGAGGAGGAAGAACGAUGAGGGAAGGGGAAGAGAAAGAGGGUGGUGGCGGUGCUGGGUGGUAGGUUAGUUGUGGGUGGUGGUAUUAAAUUUCAAAAAAUAUCCUAAAAUUUUUUUAAAUAUUAAAAAUAUCCCAGAAUUUGUUCCAAAAAUGCCUCCAAAAACACUACCAAAAAUAUCACAAAAUUUUUCAUAUACAUUGCCAAAAUAAAAUAUUUCAAAAAUGCCGUAAAAACAGCAAAUCCAAAUACACAGAGUUCAAGCCAUAUCUACAUCAUCGUUAUUUUAAAAUCUUUAUUUAAAAAACUCUCAAUUUAUUCAACUUCUCCUUUGCUUUCCUAAUUUAAAAUUUUGUUUGAACUGCUCUUUUCGUGGUAUAUACCAUAUUAAUGCAUAGAUAUAUGUAGUUACCUGCAAUUUCUCAAUUAAUCCUCAUUAGUUCAUAAUAUAAUAGCUUACCAUAUAUGUCCACUAUCGAUCCUAUUAAUUUUGUAUUUUGGUAAUUCAUAUUCUUGUCUUCACAAGGGUGAAGAAAUUAGGCUUUCAUUAAGCUGAAGUGUUUGCAUCUAAAUUGGAUGAAUAUUGAUACUUUACCCUUUUUUCCUACUUUGGAUUUAAUUAUGGCAUGAUAUUUAUUGGGUGUAUAUCUCCUCUCAUUCACCAAAUUUCGGCUCCUACAAUUUGGACAUAAGCAUUGAGUUUUCUUGCAUAUUUUCUGCUUGACAUGUUCAAAUUUUUAGCUACACACUUACCUCUAUAGCAUAACGUGCAAGUAUGAUAUUCUUUUUUUUUCUCUCUCACAAGCACUUGGACCACAUUUUUCUUCCUCUUGAAAUGAUCCUUGCUAAUUCUCAGUUCUUUUUAAUUUUGCUCACUUUUCCAAUUAAUUCUUAUAAUCUUUUUGUUGCUUUUCUUCGAUUUCCUUCACCAUCUUAAAAGCAGGAUGAAUCAAUAAAAGAAAUGUUCUUUUCCAACGUCAACUUUGGAUGUAAUAAUUUUUGAUAUUUUUUUUUGUCAACGUGUUAUGUAUUGGUGGUGCAUCCGUUUCAGUCUUCUUUGCAUAUAUUUUUAGUCGUAAAUCGAGUUUUUUUAACUACUUAAAUCAGGUUUAUCAGUAAUCCAUUUAUUAAGACUUUUUAAUUGCGCCGUCUGUAGGAACGAAGGCAUCUCAGAAUGAAGCCCACGCGUUCUAGGAGUAGGAAGGUUCUCACAAUUGGGGCUCAGCCGAGCCCUUCCUUCCAGGAAGAAGAUAUGGCUGAGGGACAGGGGUCCCCAGAGCCCCAGCCUGCAAACGGAGAAGCCAUGACCAAGAUGGCCGAGUUUGUGGCAGAAAACCCCAACGUCUUUGAGGAGUUAGGGAGGUAUUUUAAGAGACAAGACAAACAAAAGAUCGAGUCCUUCAAAAGGAAAUCAGACGAGUCUCCCGAGCCUCUAUCUGAUGAGGAAUCUGAUGGAAGACACUUGGCCAGGAGCACUCCGAAGCGAGCCAUGUUUAAGGCUACUUCCAAAAUUGCUUCUUUAUCCAAGGCUUUUUCGCGAGGUUUGUUGGGAAGGAGAGCUGACGAAGAACCUCGGCUCCUGGGAAGGUCCGGAAUAGAUUACAUGAGAGCUCCGCCCUUCACAGACGAGAUCAACGAAGAGAGGUUUCCAUCAAAUUUCAAACUCCCCACGAUAGCAUCCUACGAUUGCCGAGGUGAUCCGGAAGACUAUAUUCAUGCGUUCAUCUCGGCAUUCCGAUUAUACUGUAUCCCUGACCCUGUUAUCUGUCGGACUUUCCCAGUGUUUUUGCAAGGAACAGCUCGAAAAUGGUUUGAGGCCUAGAGCCUAGGAGCAUAUCCAUCUUGGGGGAACUGGUGGAAAAAUUCCUUUAUCGUUUUGUAUCCUCUAGACCUACGACUAAGACCUCGGCGUAUCUGUUGAAUAUACAGCAGAACCCGGGCGAGUCACUUAGGUCUUAUGUGCAGAGAUUUCAAAACGAGAGCGUGCAGAUACCCGACCCCAACGAGCAGGUAACGAUAGCUACCUUUACUAACGGGUUUGUGCUCGAAACGUUCCACACCGCGAUACAUAAGAAGUAUCCUCGCACACUCCAAGAUCCCUGGUUGAAGGUCGAAAAAGGCAUACAAGCCGAAGACCUCGAUCGUAUGAAGAAGGAGGCCCAAGCAGUCCGGCCAAGAUCUGAUCCCAGGCGGAGGGAGUCAAAUCGGAGUGAGGUCGGAAACAGCAGUGGUUUCCAUAGCCCCGGCCGAGACCGCCGGAGCGUUUUCGACAGAAUAGCCAAGGGGAAGCAGCCGGUCUCGGAAGCCGAGUUAACUUCCCUGAACACCAACCGAUCCCGUGUGCUAUCUGUGAUGGACCAAAACGGACUUGGGUGAGCCCUUCCCAAGAUGAACGGAAAAAAAAGAGGAGAAACCCUAACCUGUACUGCCUAUACCACCGAGAUGUCGGGCAUGAGACAGAGGACUGCAAUGACCUCAAGAAGGAGAUAAAACGUCUCAUUAAGCAGGGUUACCUCAAACAAUUCGUCCGACGAGAUGCGAGUUACAAUAAGAGCGAAUCUCUUCUGGAAAGUUGCGGCGACCAACGCCGAAAUGAUAGGCGAGGUGGAAGAAGUAGUUGCCGACCCCCGGAGGAUCCCAAGGAUGCUAGGAGACCCCCCCGAGAUGGGUCCCCCAGUUAUGGGCCAAUUAUGGCACAGGUCAUGAGUCCGGAUAUGGGUCCAACAUCGCUAGAGUUAUUAACAUCAUAGCCGGUGGUCCGACGGGAGGGGACAGUCAAAACUCCCGGAAGAGAACCUACAAACAGGCCAACCCGGACAUAACUGAGCCGAGUUCUCGGCUAUCUGAAAUGAUCACGUAUGGCCCAAGUGAUCCUGUUCCGGCCGCGUCCAGCAGCCAUGAGGCCUUGGUGAUCGAGGUACUCACCAACAGUUACAUCAUCAAAAAAGUGUACGUGGAUCCAGGAAACUCAGUAGAUGUCAUGUACUAUCGGACGUUCGAAAAUCUGAAACUGACAAGAGAGCAGCUCAGCCCAGUCAGGACACCUCUUGUGGGCUUUGGGAGACACGUUGUCCAUCCCGAGGGAAUGGUCACGCUAACGGUGACUGUUGGCCAUCAACCUCGGUACCGAACCAUCCCAGUUAAUUUCGUGGUGGCCAGGGCCGAUUCCCCCUACAAUCUGCUUAUGGGUCGGCCCACCUUGAACGCUUUGCGAGUUGUAUACUCAACGUAAUACUUAAGUUUCAAGUUUCCAACCCUCGCGGGAAUCACUGAGAUGAGCAGCAAUGUUUGUGCCGCACGAGAGUGUUACCUUGCAACCUUGCAGGCUGCGUCUUCGUCGACGUCCGAGCCAUGGACCGAAAGCAGGAGGUCUAGCAUUAUGUCGAUAGACUGCAUCGAUCAUCACAAAUCUGUGAAGUCUUAAAGGCUGGAUAAUGGAGACGAGGUCGAAGAUAUUAUAUUGACUCUUACUAACCACGAUCAAACCGUCCGUAUCGGCACAAACUUGCCCGAGCCGGUCAAAGGCGGGUUGAUCGAACUCCUUAGGGAGUACCAGGACGUCUUUGCCUAGAUCGCCGAGCAAGUGGUCGGGGUUCCUCCCCAACUUAUGUUGCACGAGUUGAACGUUGACCCUAGAGCUCGGCCAGUAAGACAGAAGAGAAAACACUUCGAUCCGGAACGCAGCAAAGCUGUAACGGAAGAGGUGGAUAAGCUCAUGCCAGCACAGAUGAUCAAGGAAGUCUAAUAUCCCACUUGGUUGUCCAAUCCAGUAAUGGUCGAGAAGGACACCGGGGGAUGGAAGAUGUGUGUGGACUUCACCGAUCUGAAUAAAGCUUGUCCGAAAGACUGUUACCCGGCCUAGGAUCGAUACACUGGUCGACUUGGCGAUGGGAUAUGAUGUUCUCUGCUACUUGGAUGCCUUCAAAGGCUAUCAUCAAAUAGGCAUGAGUGAGGAGAACCAAGAAAAAUAGCUUUCUUCACAGAUCAGAGGGUCUACUGUUACACGACAAUGCCCUUCGGGUUGAAGAACGCCGAGGCCACUUAUCAACGGCUUAUCAACCGAGUCUUCAAAACUCAGAUAGGUCGGAAUGUCGAGGCGUACGUUGACGACGUGCUCCUCAAGAGCAAGGAGACCUUGGCAUUCCUGUCUGAUGUGAAGGAGGUCCUCGAGGUCCUCCGAAGCACUCGGAUGAUGUUGAAUUUCAAGAAGUGCGUAUUCGGUGUGACCUCGGACAAAUUCUUGGGGUACCUAGUGUCUCGGCGCGGUAUAGAGGUGAACCCUGACAAGGUGAAGGUCAUUCAAGAAACGUCUUCACCGCAGACCCUUCGCGAAGUGUAAAUUUUGACCAGACGUUUGGUCGCCUUGAAUCGAUUCUUGUCGCAGUCCGCGGCCAAGGCAUUGCCCUUUGUCAAGAUACUCAAGAAAGCUGAUAAGUUUACUUGGACUACAGAAUGCCAGCAGGCUUUCAAAGAGGUGAAAGAACGUCACCUCGUCCUGGGGAGAUCUUAUACCUUUACUUUUCGGUCGAGGACGAGACUGUCAGCGUCGUUCUAAUUCGGGACGAUGGGAUUCAGGUACCCAUUUAUUACGUUAGUCGAGUUCUCCGUGGUUCUGAGACCCGGUACACCCGAGCAGAAAAAUUCGUGUUGGGGUUAGUCCACGCGGCCCGCAAACUAAAGCCUUACUACCUAGCUCACCCUGUAAGUCGGCGGACUGAUCAGCCAGUUAGGCAGAUUCUGUCACGCCCCGAGGCGUCCGGACAGCUCACUAAGUGGACUAUUGAACUAGGAAAGUACGACAUAGCCUAUAAGCCUCGGAUUGCUAUCAAGGCCCAGGCGUUGGCGGACUUCUUGACCGAGUUCACCUUUCCUGUGAGCCAAGACGCCAUUGUGACUGAAGUCGGGUUCCAAAGGUAGACCUUAUAUGUGGAUGGAUCCUCCACUAGUGAUGGUAGUGGAGCUGGUCUGCUUCUCGAAGACCCUCACAGAGAGACAUGCUCUUACGCACUUCGGUUCGAUUUUGCCGCAUCAAACAAUGAAUCUAAGUAUGAAGCGCUCAUCGCGGGAUUGCAGUUGGCCCGAAAACUUGGUGCCAACCAAAUCUCAGUUUAUAAUGACUCCCAACUCAUAGUAUGCCAGGUACUGGGAGAGUAUGAAGCUAGAGAAGAAAAUAUGCAGCGGUACCUUUCUAAAGUUCAGCAGCUGGCAGCCUAUUUCGGGUCGUUCGACAUUCAAAGGAUACCCCGGUCAAAGAAUAGGCGAGCUGAUGCCUUAUCAAAACUCGCCUCCACUCUCAAUAAGACGAUUCACGUGAAGGUUCUGUCUGAACCGGGGUACCUCGAGGAGAAGGUCUACCCAGUGAUCUCGAAAAAUACCUGGAUGAGUCCUUUCAUUAGCUUUUUGGAACGAGAAAUUCUUCCAGACGAUAAGGCUGAGGUGAAGAAAAUUCAACGUAAAGCGGCUAGAUACGCACUCCGAUGUGGCAACCUGUACAAACGUUCUUACCUCGCCCCGUGGCUACGGUGUAUCACAGUUGAAGAGGGUAAAAACAUCCUCUGGGAAAUCCAUGAAGGACUUUGCGGGGAGCAUGUCGGCCAACGAAUGUUGGCCAAGAAGGCCUUAUUACUUGGCUAUUUUUGGCCAACCAUUUGGCAAGAUGCCCAGGCAUUAGUCCUGAACUGCCCCUCAUGUCAGCACUACGCUCCCAAACAUCAUCAGCCAAACAACUUCAUGGUCCCCAUCACGUCGUCGUGGCCUUUCGAACAGUGGGGGACAUAUAUUAUUGGACCCUUUCCAAGGGCUCCAGGUGGCUACACUUAUGUCGUAGUAGCGGUGGACUAUUUUACGAAGUGGGUUGAAGCCGAGGCUUUAAUAAGCAUCACGGGCCAAGCUAUCCAGAAGUUCUUCUGGAAGCACGUAGUCUGUCGCUUCGAGUUACCUCGGAUCGUCAUCUCCGAUAAUGGGAAACAAUUUGCAGAUAAUCUCUUCAAAGCGUGGUGCGAGGAACUUAGAAUUAAACAGUAUUUCACUUCGGUUGGACAUCCUCAAGCCAACGGACAAGCCGAGAAGUUCAACCGAACACUUUUACACGGUCUCAAGAUAAGGUUAGACCAGCUCGGAACCUCCUGCCUAGACGAGCUCCCUAGUGUACUCUGGUCUUAUCGAACCACACCUAGAACGGCCACUCAGGAGACCCCGUUCUCGUUAACAUAUGGGUCCGAAGCAGUGGUCCCUGCCAAAUUCCUUAUCUCGAGCCCUAGAAUUGCGGCCUUCGCCGCCAAGGCUAAUGAAGAAGAAUGAAGGACUGACCUCGACCUUUCUGAGGAAAAAAGAGAUGUUGCGGCAACCCGGAUGGCCUUGUACAAGAAUAUCCUAACUAGCUAUUAUAAUUCCCGUGUGAAAAAUCUUCGAUUCAGCCCGGAUGACCUCGUUCUCCGAAAGAACUCGGUCAGCCGAGUUGAGCCCUAGGGCAAGCUAUCUCCGAACUGGGAGGGGCCGUACCGCGUGGUCGAAGUUAGCCAAAAUGAAUAUUGUAAGUUGGCCUACCGAGGUGGUGCCUUAGUACCUAGGACCUGGCAUGCCCAGAAUCUCAAAUUGUAUUUUCCAUGAUACUUGCGUCUUAUUUGAAGUUACUUACGCCUAUUCUGCGUACUUAGUUAUUUUCUUAGCACUAUCACAUGGUGUUGUUAAAGAAAAUAAUGGGACAAACAAGUCAAACAAGUAGUAAGCGAAUAAAGAAGCAAGAUAUUAGAAGCCGAAAGCAAUAGAAAAUGGGAAUUUAUAUUAAUAUUAAGGAUGGGUACAAAAGUUGCAAGUACAAAAGGCCGAGGCUUAGAGCCUUGCUAAGGGUCUCUUGCCUCGGCAGAAUCCUGGCCCGUAGCAUUCCCCGGCUCCUCCCAUGGCUGCUCCACCGUCUUCUUCGCCGCCCUCGGGUCCGGGGUCAAACUCCGCCAUCUCGCGGUUGAACUCUUCCCGCACUUCGGCCAGGUUCCUUCGGCCAUGCGAUCGCAGAGCACUUGAGUGUCCUCAUUGUAACUCGCCUUAUCUUUGAACAAGUCCACUUGUUCUGCAGUGAGGAAGGGAGCGACCUCUUUGAUGGCUGUGGUGUAGCCGAACAUAUAGUUGGGUAGGGUGAGUUGACCGAGGUCAUGGGUAAAAGCCUCGGAGGAACGGAAGGCUUCCACUGCCGAACUUCCCGCCUUGUCGAUUACAGCCGGAGAUGACUGCUCCUCCUGAAGUCGCCUCUUCUUCUCAUCUUCUAAAGCGGACUUCAGAGAGUUAACAGUGGCCUCGGACUGUUCCAUCUCGGCCAAGCGCUCCUUGCGGAGCUGUGUCUUCUCCUUCUUAGCCAGCUUCCUCUCCUCCUCGGUCGACUUCAGUUUCAGCUCCAGGGCGUAAAUCCUGUCCUGUAGCUCAGCAAGGGCCUGAUUCUCGAGCAUAUUAGUGUAACGCUGCAUCAACUAAGACAGGAAGGCCGAGGUCGAAACCCACGCUACCGAGGUGCUUUGCAUCAACUCGGUGGGGGUUAACUUUUUUGGCGUAAGAGUUAUUCCUUGGCAAGCUAGAGUGGACUAGCAGGUGUUAGACGACGCUGGGAUCCAGGCAUCGAUCAUUGACGCUGACGUCCCACUCUGGGCACCAAUGCCAGCCGGAAUGCCUCUUGUCGUCCCCGGCCUCCUGAAGCUGGAUGAAAUACCGGUUCCAUAGGAAUGAUCCCAUAAUCGGCAUCUCGGGAGCAGGCACUUGAACCUGCUUGCCCCGACCUGUAGGGAGACGAGCCGCGAUAGUUACACCCCGGACAGGCACUCUUUUUGGAAUCGUAGAACCCUGGGAGCCCUCUGGAAUGACUAUGGGGGGAGGACGAGAUGGGGUGGCCGUUUUCUUCUUCUGGGCGGCCGAGGUUUCCCCAGCAGCUUUCCUCUUUUGCUGCUUCUUCGCGACUUCGGCAGUGCCCGCGGUGAUCAGGUCAGAUACUCUCACCACUGCAUAAGAUGAAAAUAUUACUAUUUAGAAUCAAAGUAAGAAGAAAUACAAAGAUAUGAGGCGAGAAGUACGAUAUUUUUGAAGUCUAGUAGAGAAGUAAGGGGGAUGAUCCGGGCUGAUCAGAGCUCGGCUGAUCCCGCCUUCAACCAGGAUCACUUCAGGUAGGCCCAGCAGUUGAUCUUGAGACCCGACCCGAGGAGUUUUCAAAAAUUCUCCUUUUCAUGGCGACCUGGAGAAGGAUCCUUAGCUGAAGUGGGCGGUCUCCACCAAAAUCCCCUCGGAAAGUCAUUAGCGGGAACAAAAAUGAAGUUAUGCUUCCAUUCUUUUAUGGAACAAGGAGCGUCUACCACUAGAUUCGGCACGUGCUUGUUUCGGUUGCCGAAAUAAAACCAACCUUUUUUAUCGCUGUUCUUGAUCGUGUAAUAGCGGCGGAAGAGAGUCACUGUGGGGGCUAUCCCCUGGUCUCGAUAGAGUGGUUCGAACCCAAUGAGGAUCCGAACUGUAUUUAGGGUUAACUGAGUGACCCGAACGCCCCAGUACCUUAGGAUAUCCCGAAAAAACCUCGUCGUGGGCAUCCUUAGCCCGGCUUCCAGCUGAUCAACAUAGACAGCUACUCUCUUUUGGGGGCUGCUCGGCUGUUUGGUGCCCCCGAGGUGGAUAAAUGUUGUAACGAGGGUGGAAGGGAUAUCGGCGUAUCACCUCGUUAGUCUCUUGGAGAGUGACCACGCUGUGGUUCUGAGGAAGUUGGCUGAAAUCUACUGUUGACAGGUCCGGAGGUGCGGCCGGCUCCAGCACCCCUUCGUCCCUUGGUACCUCGACCCCGAGGGCGUCAUCAUACACCAUCUCGAAGUCCGCCUUGCUCGGAUCUUGGGAUGGCGCAUCCCCGCCGAUUUCCUCGGCUGCCUCCUCCGGGUUAGAAGACGAGUUCUCCUCUUCUCCGGCCGGGUCAGGCCUCUCUGCUGCGUUGAAGUCUGGCCUCACUGUCUCUUUAUGCGCCCUAGCUACCCUAGCCAUAUUGAUAAGGGAAAGGAUGAAGUGAACUUACUGGUCAAGAAAUGAUGAAAUCUGUAGAGACUAUCGAUCCGGAGAAUUCACGCUCACUUCGGAUAUCUACUCUAGUGCUGUUUUAUGGUAUCCUUGGAAUGUUUGCGGUAAAAUGUAAAUGUUGAUAGGAACCUCCUAUUUAUACCGAAGAAGAGGGAAGACGAAAAGAUGGGAGCGGUUAGGUUUUCCAGGCUGACAACCUCUCUCCUCAUUUAUGUCUACCAAUCCUUUGGUCUUCCCUCACGCGUCCUUUCAUGUUGUUAUUUAAAACUGACACCCAUCCUGUCACCAUUUCACAUCUCACUCUAAAUCUAUCCUGACACAGUGGUGACCCCCUGUAUCCGAACGGAAGCCCCGGGAAAUACCGCCCAUUUAGCCUUUCCCGAGGCUCAGGGAGCUUAGUGAGGAGGGCCGUUUCGGUUCGUCGUAAAUACGCACACCUCAAUUUGACUACUGUUGAAGACCGCUGAAGGGACCGAACUUCUAGACGUGUUGGACCCCGGAUGAGCUCACCUCGGCAGGAUUUCCACCAAGGGCCGGGGUCAUGGAUAUGUCCUUGACCAUGCUCCCCUGUUAGAUGAUGGGAUGGUCAGGUUCAGGUACAGUCUGACGCCUGCCAGGGUUCGGAGCGAUUGAUGGGACCUACUGCCGCCGCCAAUCUGUCAAGUAAAGCUGACAGUCUGGGCGUGACAGUUCCUAGGGAAUGGGACCCUCUCAAUCCUCUUUCCCUCUCAUGUAAAUACUUCUAAGAUCCCUCAGAAAAGGGUAAGACUCUUUUAUCUUACGAAAUAACUUUACUUUGACCUCCAAAAAUAACUAAUUAGAGUGUCGGAGGAGAAUUAGGGGAUCUAGCCCUGCAUUUUUUGCAGCUUAAGCAUGUGACUUUUGAGGAGUUACAUUUCUCACCCGUGGACACUCCAGCCGGUGAGGUAACACCCGAGCAGCCAAAAAUCACCUCUUCACUACUCAAACCCAAACCUAAACCCACCCCCAACCCCUUUACCCACUUUUUCGAUACGAAUCCAAAACUCUAGGCAAUAAUGGAUUUUCUUUUAAUAAAAUAAAGGUCACAAGCCAUCUGGAUAAGGAAAUUUGGAUGGAUGCAUUGAAAAGUUGGAUUCCAGAUUUCCAUCUAGAAUCUCUACUGUGACACCCGGAUGAGUUGUGGUGAAGAUGUUCCUGAUAUAGCCAGCAAUUUCCCAUGAACUGCACCAAUUCCCAUCCCCGUUUUGAAGCGAAGCUAUGUGAUUUCUUUUCCCUCCUAGUUGCUACAUUGGCAUGAAAGAAGGCACUGUUUUCGUGCUUUCGGCUCCAGUUAUGCAAUGGAGUCUCACCGUCUACUCCUCCAUGCCUCAACUAUUUUUAGGGGCUAACGAGACGCUUUUAGUACCAUGGUCCCAUAUUUAACAAAUAAUAGACAGAGAUGUGAACUCUAGUACUGAACCACACAACAACACCACCACCAACCCCUCCCCCCCCCAACCCCCACAAAAAAAAACACACAAACAAACAACACCCCACCCCACAGAGCAGACAAUUAUGGGGUACGCAAGCAGGUUUCAAAAAGUCUAUCGUAUCAGCAUAACAGCUCUCAUCAUCCACCAAAGUUACACAAAUCCAGUUGCAAGUACCAUGAAAUUUAAACCAAGUGAUAGAAAAAGCAUCAGAUGAUAAUCUUUCAUUACGCACAAAAACAGUUCAAAACUAGUCAAUCCACAAUACUGUCCCGAUAACAAAAGUUCAAAAUUAAAUAUAUCCACGUUACCACCCCCAUCACCAAAGUUCAAACAAAGAAAGUUAAUUGUCAUUGUAAUAGAAAGCAGUCCCGCAGACAGACAGACAGACAGCUUAAAUUCACUCCUUAGACAUUGUUAGAUGCUUCACAAGCUGGAUCAAUAGUGUCUCCCUGGAGGUGGCACAUCCUCAUAUGACUCCAUAUUCAAACGAGGAACAUCAAGCAUAAUUCAAAAUGUAUCAUGGAAAAGAAACAAUAAGCAGCUAGCAGCUAGCAGCAGCUAGCAGCUAGCAGCAGCUAGCAGCAGCAUGCAGUUAGACACAGCAUAGAAUGAUUUACCUAACUGGGUCAUUUGCUCCAAUAGAAUGAGCACUUGAAACAUUAGAGACCAUUACAAAUUACCACUUACACAUGGUCCAUAUCACAAAAUAUUACACAUCAUGUUCACAUAACCUAGAAAAAAAAUACCCAAAAAAAGAAAGCAGUAUAAACUCCAUAUGGUGGUCAAUCCAAGUUAAUGGACACAGGCAUGCAACCGACUUGAAAUGCUUUACCAAAUUCACCUCAGCUUUUGCCAAUAAAAUACCAAUGCACUACCAGAUCAUAUAAACGUAAUGCAACAAAUCAAGUAAAAAGUCAAUUGCAGAUACAUUUAUCCAAAAAGUAAAAAAGUAUUCUUUCCUCAACAUUCUGACAGCUAUUUAUGGUAGUAGCCAAAUGAAUACAAGAUAGAUUGAUAAUUCCAUUCACCAUACCAUGUAACCAAUGACCUUAUCAGAAAAGUUCAAACCUGCAUCUCUAUUUUUCAGCCUUCAUACUAAAUGCUUCGGAAAGAAAGUUUGGAAAAAGAAUCAAAGGGGGAAGAGAAAUGCAAGAAAAGGUUAACCAAACAGGGAAACUUCAGAGGAGUUUGAGGCCAGCUGUGUUGAAACAAAAGGUAAUCAUAUUCUGAGGCAACUUCUGAGGCAGCUUCCAAAUUAUGGGAUAUUUAGCAUAAAUAUACUAGAAACUCUUUAAGGACAAUCCGAAAAAUAAAUAGUAAAUAAAUAAAAGGACAAUUUCCAGAGCAGGGCAAGAGCCUACAGGAUAGAAACUCUACUGAGUAAACCUUAAAUUUGUAGAAUUUCUAUGGAAUAAAGGUAAAUUUCAGUAAUGGAUUGCAACAUUCAAUGACAAUCAGGAGCAGAAGCAGGAUUCUUGGAUGACAUUCAUUUGCACUAGAGGUGGCAAUUUGUCCCAAAUCCCAUUGGGCUACCUAUGCCCAAAGGAAUUUUGGGCGGAAUGGAUAUUACAAUUUGAUAUUGGGUCUAACAUGGAACACAUCCCAAUUGUACCUAUUAAUUGAUGGAAAAUGCUGAAAAAUAAUUGGGUACCCGUUGGGCCCAAAUAUCUUCCCAAAAACGUGCAUUGAUCAGAGUAUUGAAACCCCAGGCUCCGCCCGAGUGAAAAUCUCGAUGGCCAGCGCUUCCUGGUUGGCCUUACCAAGCACGCCGAGCACGGUGGCAAGCAUGCAGGGAUUAGGGGAGUACCAAUGGCGAAGAUUCACCCAUUCGUAGACCUCGGCCAACUGGUCUGCCGGACCCAUUUGACCACAAAACAGAAAUCUGUAGGAGUCAUCUGAACCAUUUUCUCAUCAAGCACGUCAAACUCCGCUGUAUGUUCAUCUGAAGAAAUCCUUGGAAAGUUUCAAAAUGGACUUUUGCCAAGCAAUGUUGAAGCAUUGCUAUGUUCUCGGGACUGGAUUUAUGGUGGUGAAGGUAAAUAUUGAUUUGAAAUUUUAAAUGUCAAAUAUGUUUAUUUUCUUUUCUAUUAAUUUUGGUUCUUUUUAAAUAAUGGCAGGCUAUGAUGCUUCUAAGGUAGAAGAGGAUGCAGAAAUGAGUGUUGAUGUUCAAAGAUUGGUGGCUAAACUUGGUAGUGAAGUAUAAGGUACAACAUGAUAGUUUGUAAUCUCAGAAGUUUAUAUUGCAUGUUCUGAUCCUCUUUUAGUUUUGCAUUGCGCAUCAGUUUUUUCAACUAAAUCAUGACAGUUUGCUUUGUGUUUACCUCUUAUUGAGAGACUUUUUUUAGCUGUAAGCAUCCAUAAUCUCUGGAGACAAGAUGUCUGGGGUCAUCUCUGGAGCUGUGCUUUGGUUUUAAGCAUUAAAUAAUGCUUAUGUUCUGCUUUCUAGUAAGUGAGCUUAGCAAAUUUACUACAUUGAUAAGAUCCAUAGAAACUGUAUGUGGUACAUGUUACCAAAUUCACUUGUAUUAUUCAUAAUACCAAUGGUCAUUUUUACCAAUCCAGCUGAGUUCCUUGUCUUUCCCUUUCUCGAAUUUGUUGCAUGUUUCUUGGCUUAUCUCCAUGUAAACCUGUGAUUAUCUUUAGCAGUCUUCCGGUGGGUGUACUGAAUUAUGCUGUCAUAAGUCAAUGUUAAUCAAGUAAAAUGAGAUUGGAUUUUCUGGUAUUUGGUUCUGAUCUGACUGUCAGAUCAAAUUAUUUCUCUCUCUCUACACAACAUGAGUUUUGGAUAACCUGAAAGUUAAUCUUGUAUCUGUCAAACUGUUAGCAUGUUUACUGGCUCUUAUGGACGCAUGUGCACCUCUUCCUGGUGACUUUUCCACUUCCCUUGCAUGCCAUAGUAACCCUUGAUAUUUUACAUGCAGGAUUUGUGUGCAUUCUGCACGGAUUUCAUUGUGUCUGAAUUAUGGAUUCAAACCUCUUGGCAUAUCAGGUUUAAGAUUUCUGGUCAUGAUCUCUAUCUUUUCAUCAUCAACAUGUGCUUAUUUGAUACUAUUAACUUGAACUUCUCAACUAGGUGUUUGUAGAGAGCCAAGAUUAUGGUAUAUAUGGAGAACGAGUUAGGAACGCCUGUUGGGGUUACCUAUGUCAAAGUAGUGCCAAAGGACUUAAGGAGGUGACAACUACAAAUGCCUGUAACACCGUGACAUAUGAUGUGAACUUUUUUUCUUGAACUACCUUUUGAACAUGCAACUUAAUUCCUUAACUGAUGUAUAUUAUUGGAUUGUUGAACUAUCUACGUAGAUUUCUAUAUGCAAUCCUGUUAUCAAUUUAAAAAAAAAUAAAAAAUGAAUUAAAGAAAAAAAAUAUGUAGAAAAUAGAUUUGAAUAUUGGACGGGAUCAAUCUAAACCCAUCCUAAAGUGAUCCCGCCCAAGUUAGUCGCAAAGCACAUAUGGGUAAAGUUGGAUCCAAACCUAUAUGACUCCUAAAGUGAUCCCGCCCAAGUUAGUCCCAAAGCACAUAUGGGUAAAGUUGGAUCCAAACCUAUAUGACUCGGUUCCAUUUCAUAUCCAAGCAAAUCCCACCCAUUUUGCCACCUCUAAUUUGCACCAAAAAGUAUCGAGGCAGAAUAGAACAUUAAAAAGAGCUCAAAAGAAGUUUUGAAAAACUAUCAAUAAUAGAGCCAAAGCUCUUAUCAGAUGUUUCAACCAUGCCAUUGGACAGUUAGGACUACAUAACAAAGCAUCUAAGAAAAGUACCAAUUGGUAAUUUCAUGAAAAAGGGAGAGAGAAUAAAGCAAGCCAGAAUACUGGAGGCUGAAAAUCUACAAGUCCACUCCCCUUUUUACUCAUUACCAAAAAAUGGGGAUAUGUGGGAAGUUGAGGAUGCAGUACCACAGUAAGAUACUCAAAACAUGGCUUAUGAUACUCCAGCAGAUUGCUCCAGAGCUUCUUGACCAGUCUCCCCUGAUUGUCAUGGAAGUACUCAGCAGGCAAAUAGGAAGAACGGUAGUAUAGGGGCCUAAUUAGCUGAUCUUAUCCAGAAGCUUGAGAUAGGUAGUCAAAUCAACUUUAUCAAUGCUAAUAUUCUAGUCCACAUGUAGUCAAGGCAGGAAAACUAUGGGUCAUGCAACCCACAUAUAAGGUAGGCACCCAUUCUUAAAGUAGUAGUGACAAAAAAAAAGUAAAAUGCAAGAGGAAAUUGUGACCUACUUAUUAGAUUUCACUAAACAGCAAAUUGCAAGAGAAAAAAAGCAGUGAUGAUUAAACUUCGACACUUUUUUAGCCAACUGGCAGUUGGGGGAAAAAAAAUUAUCACUCACUGGAUGAAAGGAGGAAAACAUAGACACAUGAAACUCCACUGGAUGAAAAGAGGAAAACAUAGACACAUGAAAUACUAUCAGCAGAAGAUGGGGAAAAAGCAGUUCAGUUGGGUAUAAUCCAGUAUGCAAAUCUUGGAUAUGCUCCAUGGGGCUCCUACACACAAGGAUUAGGGUUCUGAAGAGGUCUAAUUGCAGCUCUUUUCUCUAAGUAGAAUAAAGCUAGGUUAAUGCACAUAGUUAGGUUAAUGUAUAAGGAAUCAAUAUGUCACUGGCCAGUAGCAAUCAACAUGUUACUUACAUGAUGAAGCUGGUUUUACCAUACAUCUAAUGCACAGAUAGUGGGAAUACCUUCGGCAAUCACAACUUCUUAUUACAAAAUCCAGGCACAAUUAGGAUAAACCGGAGUGUGCAGGAAAUAAAACUCCAUGACUCAAGUGAACAAACAAGAGAGAGUGUACCAAAAGGCAUCUCGUAGAAUAGACACUUUGAUAGGCCAACUUACUUCUAAAUGCUUAUGGAGUAGAGGAAUCCAACCCAAAAAACACACAGCAUUACAAUGACAAUAAUUUCAAUUACGACGGCAGAUCCUAAACAUAAUAAGGAAAUAAAAACCAAGGUUCAAACUGAAGCAAAGCAAAUAAACCUGCAAGUAGCAAUAAAUAAUCUUUUUUUAUUCAAAGAAGGGAAACAAAGUAGACUAGUCAAAUGUGGUGCAAUAAAAUAGUCCCAAUUGGCAAGGCAUUCCAGAGAUGAAAAAUUGGGAUGAGAGGUUUCAUUGAAUCUGCAUUCCAUAUUAUUAGUGGUACAAUCAGUAACAGUGAAAACCCCUUCUCUAUGCUCCCAAUCCCACCAGUAUAGUUAGAGCAGCACAUAAUGAAUUAAGGAUAUGAACACAAAAAUGAGAUCGGAACAUUAUGACAGAAUGGAGUUCAAGACGUAGGGGAACUUUAUGAUCAACAGACGGUUUAAAAGUCAAAGA
Molecule: long non-coding RNA, 31877 nt
Filed under: Coffea arabica (coffee)
Lineage: Eukaryota; Viridiplantae; Streptophyta; Magnoliopsida; Gentianales; Rubiaceae
Description: long non-coding RNA (CARA_LNC004529)
Source: RNAcentral